RNAcentral lists this ribosomal RNA (506 nucleotides) under Chrysolina rossia. RNAcentral describes it as "partial 16S ribosomal RNA". The stretch from base 381 to 506 matches the Rfam family "Bacterial large subunit ribosomal RNA", at positions 2473 to 2599 of the family's 2925-position model. The record is from RNAcentral. Lineage: Eukaryota; Metazoa; Arthropoda; Insecta; Coleoptera; Chrysomelidae.
GUCCUUUUGUGUAUAAUUUAAGGUCUAGCCUGCCCACUGAAAAUUUAAAUGGCCGUGGUAUUUUGACCGUGCUAAGGUAGCAUAAUCAUUAGUUUUUUAAUUAAAAACUGGAAUGAAAGGUUGGAUAAGAAAAUGACUGUCUCUAUUAAAUUAUUAGAAUUUUAUUUUUAAGUUAAAAAGCUUAAUUGAAUUUAAAAGACGAGAAGACCCUAUAGAGUUUAAUUAUUAAAUAAAAAUUAUAUUUUAGUAUUUAUUUAUAUAUUUUAUUUAAUAAUUUAAUUGGGGUGAUUGAAAAAUUUAAUAAACUUUUUUUAUUUUUAAACAUAAAUUUAUGAAUAAAUGAUCCAAUAUUUUUGAUUAUAAGAUAAAAUUACCUUAGGGAUAACAGCGUAAUUUUUUUAUAGAGUUCAUAUUAAAAAAAAAGAUUGCGACCUCGAUGUUGGAUUAAAAUUAAUUUUUGGUGUAGAAGCUAGAAUAUUAGGUCUGUUCGACCUUUAAAAUUUUAC